GAAAACUCCGGUGGUAAAAGAUGGGCAUGCGUUGUAUUAGCUAGUUGGUGAGGUAACGGCUCACCAAGGCGACGAUACAUAGGGGGACUGAGAGGUUAACCCCCCACAUUGGUACUGAGACACGGACCAAACUCCUACGGGAGGCAGCAGUGAGGAAUAUUGGUCAAUGGACGCAAGUCUGAACCAGCCAUGCCGCGUGCAGGAAGACGGCUCUAUGAGUUGUAAACUGCUUUUGUACGAGGGUAAAUGCAGGUACGUGUAUCUGUUUGAAAGUAUCGUACGAAUAAGGAUCGGCUAACUCCGUGCCAGCAGCCGCGGUAAUACGGAGGAUCCAAGCGUUAUCCGGAUUUAUUGGGUUUAAAGGGUGCGUAGGCGGUUUUAUAAGUUAGAGGUGAAAUCUCGGGGCUCAACUCCGAAAUUGCCUCUAAUACUGUAGGACUAGAGAGUAGUUGCGGUAGGCGGAAUGUAUGGUGUAGCGGUGAAAUGCUUAGAGAUCAUACAGAACACCGAUUGCGAAGGCAGCUUACCAAACUAUAUCUGACGUUGAGGCACGAAAGCGUGGGGAGCAAACAGGAUUAGAUACCCUGGUAGUCCACGCAGUAAUUCUUGAUAACUCGUUGUCGGCGAUACACAGUCG
RNAcentral lists this ribosomal RNA (637 nucleotides) under uncultured bacterium. RNAcentral describes it as "bacterial SSU rRNA". It matches the Rfam family "Bacterial small subunit ribosomal RNA", at positions 202 to 839 of the family's 1533-position model. The record is from RNAcentral.